GCUGGGCAUGGUGGCGUGUGCCUGUAAUCCCAGCUACUCGGGAGGCUGAGGCAGGAGAAUCACUUGAAUCCGGGAGGCGGAGGUUGCAGUGAGCCGAUAUUGUGUCACUGCACUCCAGCCUGGGUGACAGAGCGAGACUCUGUCUCCA
RNAcentral lists this non-coding RNA (148 nucleotides) under Nomascus leucogenys (northern white-cheeked gibbon). The record is from Rfam by way of RNAcentral. Lineage: Eukaryota; Metazoa; Chordata; Mammalia; Primates; Hylobatidae.